RNAcentral lists this transfer RNA (77 nucleotides) under Anaerolineae bacterium. Its description in RNAcentral is "tRNA-Lys". It matches the Rfam family "tRNA". From Rfam's summary of the family: Transfer RNA (tRNA) molecules are approximately 80 nucleotides in length. Their secondary structure includes four short double-helical elements and three loops (D, anti-codon, and T loops). Further hydrogen bonds mediate the characteristic L-shaped molecular structure. tRNAs have two regions of fundamental functional importance: the anti-codon, which is responsible for specific mRNA codon recognition, and the 3' end, to which the tRNAs corresponding amino acid is attached (by aminoacyl-tRNA synthetases). tRNAs cope with the degeneracy of the genetic code in two manners: having more than one tRNA (with a specific anti-codon) for a particular amino acid; and 'wobble' base-pairing, i.e. permitting non-standard base-pairing at the 3rd anti-codon position. The record is from RNAcentral. Lineage: Bacteria; Bacillati; Chloroflexota; Anaerolineae.
GGACGUGUAGCUCAGGCUGGCAGAGCAGCGGCCUUUUAAGCCGUGGGUCGCAGGUUCGAAUCCUGCCACGCCCACAA